AGACCGAUAGCAAACAAGUACCGUGAGGGAAAAUUGAAAAGAACUUUGAAGAGAGAGUUCAAUAGUACGUGAAACUGUGUGGUGGUAAACGGAGGGGUUCUCGAAGUCUCCGUGGGGUACUCAACCUUGGUGGCGGGCAGUUGGGCCGAGUGCGAUCAGCAAUGACGUCUCGGCUCGCCGCGGCCUGCCUCUCGGGUGCAUUUCCCCCACGGUUCACGGCAGGAACCGUUGCGACCGGACCGAAGGCCCUGGGUGAAGUUGUCGCUUAUGGUGGCAGCCCCGGGUGUCCUGGCUCUGGGCGUGACGGGUACUUGGAGAGGACUCGUAUAGCGAGCAACGCUCUGUUGCGGUCCUCAUCUCUCUGCCGAGUAGGUCGGUGGCCCCUCCGACCCGUCUUGAAACACGGAC
This 408-nucleotide ribosomal RNA is filed under the name Spinocalanus angusticeps. RNAcentral's name for it is "eukaryotic LSU rRNA". It matches the Rfam family "Eukaryotic large subunit ribosomal RNA", at positions 331 to 666 of the family's 3401-position model. Lineage: Eukaryota; Metazoa; Arthropoda; Copepoda; Calanoida; Spinocalanidae. The record is from RNAcentral.